RNAcentral lists this ribosomal RNA (424 nucleotides) under uncultured cyanobacterium. Its description in RNAcentral is "bacterial SSU rRNA". It matches the Rfam family "Bacterial small subunit ribosomal RNA", at positions 356 to 795 of the family's 1533-position model. The record is from RNAcentral. Lineage: Bacteria; Bacillati; Cyanobacteriota.
GGGGAAUUUUCCGCAAUGGGCGAAAGCCUGACGGAGCAACGCCGCGUGAGGGAUGAAGGCCUCUGGGCUGUAAACCUCUUUUAUCAAGGAAGAAGAUCUGACGGUACUUGAUGAAUAAGCCACGGCUAAUUCCGUGCCAGCAGCCGCGGUAAUACGGGAGUGGCAAGCGUUAUCCGGAAUUAUUGGGCGUAAAGCGUCCGCAGGCGGUCUUGUAAGUCUGUCGUUAAAGCGUGGAGCUUAACUCCAUUUGAGCGAUGGAAACUGUAAGACUAGAGUGUGGUAGGGGCAGAGGGAAUUCCCGGUGUAGCGGUGAAAUGCGUAGAUAUCGGGAAGAACACCAGUGGCGAAGGCGCUCUGCUGGGCCAUAACUGACGCUCAUGGACGAAAGCCAGGGGAGCGAAAGGGAUUAGAUACCCCUGUAGUC